Molecule: ribosomal RNA, 253 nt
Filed under: uncultured bacterium
Lineage: Bacteria
Description: partial 16S ribosomal RNA
Rfam family: Bacterial small subunit ribosomal RNA
Source: RNAcentral
CACGUAGGAUCCGAGCGUUAUCCGAAUUUACUGGGCGUAAAGCGCGUGUAGGCGGUCUGGUAAGUUGGACGUGAAAGCUCCUGGCUCAACUGGGAGAGGUCGUUCAAGACUGCCGGGCUAGAGGGCGGUAGAGGGAGGUGGAAUUCCCGGUGUAGUGGUGAAAUGCGUAGAUAUCGGGAGGAACACCAGUGGCGAAAGCGGCCUCCUGGACCGCAACUGACGCUCAGACGCGAAAGCUAGGGGAGCGAACGGG